AAAAAAACACACCUAUGACACCUUUAAGGAGGUUCUUGGAUCAGGGAUGCAGUACCACUUGCAGUCAAAUGAAUUCCUUCGAAAUGUAUUUGAACUUGGACCCCCAGUGAUGCUUGAUGCUGCAACGCUUAAAACGAUGAAGAUUUCUCGUUUCGAAAGGCAUUUAUAUAACUCUGCAGCCUUCAAAGCUCGAACCAAAGCUAGAAGCAAAUGUCGA
This 217-nucleotide unclassified non-coding RNA is filed under the name Hevea brasiliensis (rubber tree). The record is from RNAcentral. Lineage: Eukaryota; Viridiplantae; Streptophyta; Magnoliopsida; Malpighiales; Euphorbiaceae.